This 59-nucleotide microRNA precursor is filed under the name Branchiostoma lanceolatum (amphioxus). RNAcentral's name for it is "Bla-Mir-4872-P3_pre stem-loop". Lineage: Eukaryota; Metazoa; Chordata; Leptocardii; Amphioxiformes; Branchiostomatidae. The record is from RNAcentral.
UGCCGGGGCAAUUAAGAUUCUGAGUGUUGUGAAAAUCAGAGUCUUUUUGCCCUGGCUCU